GAUGAACGCUAGCGGGAGGCCUAACACAUGCAAGCCGAGCGGUAUUUGUUCUUCGGAACAGAGAGAGCGGCGCACGGGUGCGGAACACGUGUGCAACCUGCCUUUAUCUGGGGGAUAGCCUUUCGAAAGGAAGAUUAAUACCCCAUAAUAUAUUGAGUGGCAUCACUUGAUAUUGAAAACUCCGGUGGAUAGAGACGGGCACGCGCAAGAUUAGUUAGUUGGUGAGGUAACGGCUCACCAAGUCAAUGAUCUUUAGGGGGCCUGAGAGGGUGAUCCCCCACACUGGUACUGAGACACGGACCAGACUCCUACGGGAGGCAGCAGUGAGGAAUAUUGGACAAUGGGUUAGCGCCUGAUCCAGCCAUCCCGCGUGAAGGACGACGGCCCUAUGGGUUGUAAACCUCUUUUGUAUAGGGAUAAACCUACUCUCGCGAGAGUAGCUGAAGGUACUAUACGAAUAAGCACCGGCUAACUCCGUG
This 479-nucleotide ribosomal RNA is filed under the name uncultured bacterium. RNAcentral describes it as "partial 16S ribosomal RNA". It matches the Rfam family "Bacterial small subunit ribosomal RNA", at positions 28 to 507 of the family's 1533-position model. The record is from RNAcentral.